This 255-nucleotide ribosomal RNA is filed under the name Ignavibacteria bacterium. Its description in RNAcentral is "partial 16S ribosomal RNA". It matches the Rfam family "Bacterial small subunit ribosomal RNA", at positions 1289 to 1533 of the family's 1533-position model. The record is from RNAcentral. Lineage: Bacteria; Pseudomonadati; Ignavibacteriota; Ignavibacteria.
CAGUUCGGAUUGGAGUCUGCAACUCGACUCCAUGAAGUUGGAAUCGCUAGUAAUCCUGGAUCAGAAUGCCAGGGUGAAUACGUUCCCGGGUGUUGUACACACCGCCCGUCACGCUAUGGGAGUUUGUAAUACCCGAAGUUGGUAGCCUAACCUUUUAGGAGGGGGCCAACGAAGGUAGGACAAGUAACUGGAGUGAAGUCGUAACAAGGUAUCCCUACCGGAAGGUGGGGAUGGAUCACCUCCUUUCUAUGGAGA